Molecule: ribosomal RNA, 1435 nt
Filed under: uncultured marine bacterium
Lineage: Bacteria
Description: bacterial SSU rRNA
Rfam family: Bacterial small subunit ribosomal RNA
Source: RNAcentral
GAGUUUGAUCAUGGCUCAGAACGUACGCUGGCGGCACGCCUAACACAUGCAAGUCGAACGAAGUAGCAAUACUUAGUGGCAGACGGGUGAGUAACAUGUAGGUAUCUGCCCUUUGGCCUGGAAUAACACGAGGAAACUUGUGCUAAUACCGGAUAAGUCUUUACGGAGAAAGCUUUAUGCACCAUUGGAUGAGCCUGCACUUGAUUAGUUUGUUGGUGGGGUAAUGGCCUACCAAGACUGUGAUCAAUAGCUGAUUUGAGAGGAUGAUCAGCCACAUUGGGACUGAGACACGGCCCAAACUCCUACGGGAGGCAGCAGUGGGGAAUCUUGCACAAUGGAGGAAACUCUGAUGCAGCGAUGCCGCGUGAGUGAAGAAGGCCCUUGGGUUGUAAAGCUCUUUCGUCGGGGAAGAAAAUGACUGUACCCGAAUAAGAAGGUCCGGCUAACUUCGUGCCAGCAGCCGCGGUAAUACGAAGGGACCUAGCGUAGUUCGGAAUUACUGGGCUUAAAGAGUUCGUAGGUGGUUGAAAAAGUUAGUGGUGAAAUCCCAGAGCUUAACUCUGGAACUGCCAUUAAAACUUUUCAGCUAGAGUAUGAUAGAGGAAAGCAGAAUUUCUAGUGUAGAGGUGAAAUUCGUAGAUAUUAGAAAGAAUACCAAUUGCGAAGGCAGCUUUCUGGAUCAUUACUGACACUGAGGAACGAAAGCAUGGGUAGCGAAGAGGAUUAGAUACCCUCGUAGUCCAUGCCGUAAACGAUGUGUGUUAGACGUUGGAAAUUUAUUUUCAGUGUCGCAGCGAAAGCGAUAAACACACCGCCUGGGGAGUACGACCGCAAGGUUAAAACUCAAAUGAAUUGACGGGGACCCGCACAAGUAGUGGAGCAUGUGGUUUAAUUCGAAGAUACGCGCAGAACCUUACCAACACUUGACAUGUUCGUCGCGACUCUAAGAGAUUAGAGUUUUCGGUUCGGCCGGACGAAACACAGGUGCUGCAUGGCUGUCGUUAGCUCGUGUCGUGAGAUGUUGGGUUAAGUCCCGCAACGAGCGCAACCCUCACUUUUAGUUGCCAUCAUUAAGUUGGGCACUCUGAAAGAACUGCCAGUGAUAAGCUGGAGGAAGGUGGGGAUGACGUCAAGUCCUCAUGGCCCUUACGUGUUGGGCUACACACGUGCUACAAUGGUAUCUACAACAGGAAGCAAGACUGCGAAGUUAAGCAAAUCCCUAAAAGAUACCUCAGUUCGGAUUGCACUCUGCAACUCGAGUGCAUGAAGCUGGAAUUACUAGUAAUCGUGGAUCAGCGUGCCACGGUGAAUGCGUUCCCGGGUCUUGUACACACCGCCCGUCACACCAUGGGAGUUGGUUCUACCUUAAGGCAAGGUUUCAAACCCUUGACCACGGUAUAGUCAGCGACUGGGGUGAAGUCGUAACAAGGUAACC